UAGGGAAUAUUGGGCAAUGGGUGGAAGCCUGACCCAGCCAUCCCGCGUGCCGGAUGAAGGCCCUCUGGGUCGUAAACGGCUUUUGACGGUGAAGAACCGAAAGGGUGCGCCCUUUUUUGACGGUAGCCGUUGAAUAAGCACCGGCUAACUCCGUGCCAGCAGCCGCGGUAAUACGGAGGGUGCGAGCGUUGUCCGGAUUUAUUGGGUUGAAAGGGUGCGUAGGCUGGAAGGUCAGUCAGCGGUGAAAAGCAGUUGCUCAACAAUUGUCUUGCCGCAGAGACUUCC
RNAcentral lists this ribosomal RNA (285 nucleotides) under uncultured prokaryote. RNAcentral describes it as "partial 16S ribosomal RNA". It matches the Rfam family "Bacterial small subunit ribosomal RNA", at positions 355 to 637 of the family's 1533-position model. The record is from RNAcentral.